RNAcentral lists this long non-coding RNA (1095 nucleotides) under Pogona vitticeps (central bearded dragon). Its description in RNAcentral is "lncRNA (ENSPVIG00000023892.1)". Lineage: Eukaryota; Metazoa; Chordata; Lepidosauria; Squamata; Agamidae. The record is from RNAcentral.
GAACAAGAUGCCAUGAGGGGCUCAUAUUGACAUGGGCCUUUUUAGCUUGCAGGUUAUCGAUUGCUGAGUUGGUUAUAGAGAGAAAGGGGGGGAAGAAAUUGAGUGUCAGCAGGGCGGGAGGCCUUUCAUUCUUUUCAUGAUGAACAUUUUCUUACAAGUCCACAUGUUUGUUCAUACCAUAGAAUCACACGCUGUGAGUGAGCUGUAGGCAGUAACAGCCUGUGUUGUUUUAUUGUUCUUUUGAUUUGUCUUCAGAUUCAAGCUUAUCCAAAAAUCUAUGCCAGGUGGAAAAGAAGUGAACAUCAAAAUUGAUCUUACACAAUAGAGAACAAACAACGCAUCAGAAAAUUCUACAAAGCAAUCAGCGGGGGGAAGCAAAAGCUUGGAGCUGACUCCCAAGGAAGCAAACAACUGGUAGGAAAGGGGAUAAGAAGUGUUUGCCCACGUUUCUUUAUCACUCAAAUCCCCCUUAGAAGCCAACUUAAAAAAAGAAAAAGAAAAGAAACUUCAAGGAAAGAAACGUUAGAACUACAUACAAUAUCCCACAGAAAAAGUAAGAUAAUUGCAACAUAGUUGUAUAUUUCUGCUUGUUUCUUUUAAACAGCAUUUCACCCAAGGUCACAUUUAAAAAGAUGCAUUUUUCUUAAUAUUCAGUAAAUUGUAAAAAGGAGCAAAAUUGAACCAUGCCUCAGAGAGAGCAGAAUUGAGAUUCAAACUACAGAUCUGCUCAUUUCUCUAAUCUAAACACAGGUAUUCCAAAGGAGGCUGUUGUUAUAUUCAGAAGCCAGCUCCACAAGUAAAAGAAGAUUCUUUGAAGUAUCUUAGUUUAAUGACAGGACUGCAGGUAAUUAUUACCCAGAGGUUGCUGUCAAAAUACGACAUUUUUACCAACAGCUUAUCAUGAGAUAUCGCUUAGAUUAGUGACUUCCUGCCACAACACAGGGAACAGAGAGUUCCUCUGUACCCAUUGGAAUUUAGGAAGAUGAAAUUUUCACUGAGAGUUGGUGCCGAGGAUAGCAUGGAAGCAAUGAACGUUUCUGCUUAAGAUGCUUAUAUUGAAAUAAAAGCAUCCAUUUCAUAUUGGGUAACUUCUGA